UUACAUACUGUACGUGUCUCGGACAGGAGAAUAAGUGCACACUAUGUGUCAGCUGAGUCCCCAAGUCAAGUGACGGCCAGUUUGCUUGGGGCUUGUGAUAAAGGUUCAUAGUGACACAUAUACGGACUUAUUCUUUUUUUGACAUUGAGCAGUUUUAGAUUUCUUUGAGCAGUCAGUGAAGUUACUCGGAGGAUUAUCUGACCUUUGGAAAAGGAAACCUGAAAAAAAAUAUGAGGGAUAAAGCCUUCUUAGCUCUUCUGCUGACAGUGACUUUAAAUCUGGUCUACUCUCUUGAGCAAUGCAGACAAACUAACCUCUGGCGAUGUUCGACCAUUUCACUGCUGAGCGGAAACCCAAAUGACGAAAACCAGGCUGUUUUAAAAGAACUGUGUAACGCAGGAGUUGGCCAUGUUAUGGAUCAAUCCGCCUUCCAGGGUCAACUAGCUGUCAUCAACAUUCGCAGAGAUGCUUCACCUGAUGACGCCAUGUGGCUCGGGGGUCAAUGCCCAAAUGUUGUCUGUAAUGACACGUGGUUCUUGGACGAACUCGUUUCCCUUCUAGCUGGAAGGAGCGGAACUGGGAAAGGGACAUAUAAGUGGUAUCGCCAUGGCUUGCCAUUGUGGCCCCUUCUGUAUCAAUCCCUAAAUCAUGACCGCGGACGCAUUCUGCGCGUGAUACUUCGAAAGAAACUUGACUGGCCAAACUAUGCUCUAGCAGUGCCUGUUUACCAAGUCCUGGACGAAUACGGGAGAACUAAACGCCCUGAUAUCGCUGCGAUGAAGUUAUUCAAGCAGGGUUUAAAGCGUGCCAGUUUCUCAAAACCUUUGAAAUUUAAACGUUUUGUGGACAGUUUCAUGAAGAACUUCCAGGAUACUAAGGGAUCAUACUAUAAAGUUGGAAUUGAAUUCAUUGAAGGCUACGACAAAUGGCUGAAGCCUUUGGUCAUACACAGUCUUCCAGAAAUGCUCAAGUCAAAAAUCAAGAAGUGCAGGGCUAAACUCUGCAUCUUCCUUCUGAAGAAACCAAGCCUUUCUUUUAUCGAUGAACUGAAGUCAGACCUGAUUCACAUUCUGAAAGCAAUGAAAUGUCCUCACUUACCAGUCAUCAUCGGCUAUCAAGAUUCAUAACCGAACAAAUAGUUGUUCUCUGUCUGAUGCAAGCUUUCUGAAUGGAACCCACCACAAAUAGAAAGCAAUUUCUUAAAUCCUUCUAAAGCCAAGCUUUGGAGCAUUCCUCCUGCGGCUAGGUUUCUAGUUACUAUUAAUCCUGUAUCCUUUCUUAAGUCGUGGGAUAAACAGUCACAGGGCUGUCCGUCUCUUUAGCUCCUGUGCUUACAGAAAUGAUUAGACAUGAUUAAAUAUCCAUAUCACAGUUUACAAAAGCCUUUGAAGUUUAUCAGAACAUUGUACCAUCAAAGUAAUUGGGGACAUUUGAAGUUUGUUAUGUUAACUUAAUUCAGAAUUGUGGAAUUUUUCAACCACUGAUAUUUCACCUUUUCUUCGGAGUAUUGCUGAAUGCCACAGUGAAUUUUCAUAUGCAUCUCUAAUAAAGCAGAAUGGCUGAUU
Long non-coding RNA from Macrobrachium nipponense, 1565 nucleotides. RefSeq lists it as uncharacterized. The transcript is spliced from 4 exons. NCBI's taxonomy places the organism in Eukaryota, Metazoa, Arthropoda, Malacostraca, Decapoda, Palaemonidae. The record is from RefSeq and is a predicted model, not a curated record.